Molecule: long non-coding RNA, 584 nt
Organism: Pipra filicauda (Wire-tailed manakin)
Lineage: Eukaryota; Metazoa; Chordata; Aves; Passeriformes; Pipridae
Exons: 4
Source: RefSeq, a predicted model, not a curated record
GAAACUUUCCCUGCACCAUGCUUCCAACUCUGCGUGCACAAGGCUAUUGGAUGUAAUCACGAGGGUUAAGUUCUCAGUCUAAAAAUUUCAAGCCUGUAACUAUUAGAAAUCUGUAACAGCUUCAGCAUGUUUGUUAGAUACAAGCUCUCUCAUCUGACAGGGAGAAAUGGGGAGCAAAACAAUAUCAGCAUAUCAUUGAAGUCUUGAAAGCAAGCAAUGGAAAAACUGCAUGAUUUGCUUGACUGGGAUCUGUGAAGUCCUUAGGAAGUGCAGAGUUCCUACAUCUCCUCUCCCAACACAAGUGCUGUAAGCAACCAAGGUCAAAAUUAGAGCAGUUGAGAAGCUGCUCUAGGUUGUGCUCUGUGAAUGGAUGCUGGCCAUCUCCAGAGACACGAGGUAUCAUUUAGAUUAGAAAAGACCUUCAAGAUCAUUAAGACCAACUGCAAACCAAACACUGCCAAGUCCACCAAAAGAAGCAAUGGAAUGACCAAACAUCCUUCUCCAGGAAAAACUUUCCUGAUUUCACAACAGCAAGGAAGUGGAAUGUCUUGUCUUCUUAAAGGCAUUUGUUUUGAUUAUUACAA